Molecule: long non-coding RNA, 2448 nt
Organism: Acinonyx jubatus (cheetah)
Lineage: Eukaryota; Metazoa; Chordata; Mammalia; Carnivora; Felidae
Exons: 3
Source: RefSeq, a predicted model, not a curated record
CACCUCUUGUACCGUUUAUUAGAAAUGCAACAUGACUGCAAGACUGCAACAUUAGAUACGUCUUGCACAAGGGAGCUGCGCAUAGAAGGGAAGCCUUUGUAAACAUUUAGAUUUCCUCAUGGAGGUUUUGUGUGUGUGUGUGUGUGUGUGUUUCUUUUUAACGUUACACGGCAUUAGCAGAGGAACACAGCUGGUUCACAAGAUCUCAAACGGAGGGUGGCUUCCCUAAAGAGUUUGCAAACCCGCAUGGCUGUCAUCCGAUUCACCUUCUUCCCUGCCCAGCUGUGCUGAGAGGGAGGUAAACAAACAAAAGAAUGAGUAAAUAAAAUGGGUUUGGGAUUCACUGCCCUUUGCUCUUCUGUCCCAUCUCAAUCCAAGCCCACGAAGGGAGGACGAGGGGGGACAAAAAUCAGGAUAAAGCAAAGACUGUAAAACCAUUCCUGAAACCCUUGAAAGCGGCUGCAGAUGGAAGGACCUAGUAGCUAAGCGAAUGCUCUGGGUAGGAGGGUGUGGGCAAGGGAAUAAAACUAGCUGAGAAGCGAGCAAAGCCUGCCUUCCCUAGGGUUCGCUCGGGCUCAGUGUGGGUCACCUCCUUGUCUGCAAGCUGCCUGUGUGCUCUGCCACAUGGCUUCCGGAGAGAGGCUUCCUGUAGAGGAAAAAACACUGAUUCUGCUCUCCUGUUUUCAGCUUUCGAGAGCCUGUCUUGGAGAAGACAAUAGACGCUGAAGCACCACGCUGCCUGGUCAUCUAUUGGGCAUACAGAUUUGCUCGGAAAAUUCUAAAUUAAUUAGCAUUAACAUUCCGGCUAACGUGGAGAUACAGAUACUAAGUCUUUCCUCUACUGAAUGAAGCAGCAAAUCCACGGGCUUAGGAGCUAUCGGUUACUUCUAAAUUGGUAAAAAGGACCAGAGACAUUUGGCGGGGUGGUGGAACUCUCCAGAUGAGAAAACCGAAGACCAAGGUCAUUCAGUUAAGUGGUGGGGCCAAGGGUCUUAAAAGCCGAGAUCCCCCAAGUUGACGCCCAGUUGGCGCUCUUUGCACAAACCUCUCAAAGCCAAGGGCCGGACUUUCUGGGUUAGCAUUUUCAACGUAUCUUGGGCUUCAUAUUUCAAUAAUGAUCAUCAAGGUUCCUAACUAGGAAGAACAACGGAAGAUCGGGUUCCUCUUCUGUCCAAUAGAUGAGAAUGACAGGCUGAGGCCAACCAAAACAGGCCUUGCUUUAUUGGGCUUGAAUUUUGAUAUAUGUCAAAAUAUAUGACAUUAAAAAUUUUUUUUAAUGUUUAUUUUUGAGAGAGAGAGAGAGAGAGAGACAGAGUGUGAGCAGGGGAGGGGCAGAGAGAGAGGGAGACACAGAAUCCGAAACAGGCUCCAGGCUCUGAGCUGGCAGCACAGAGCUCGAUGCGGGGCUCGAACUCACGGACUGUGAGAUCAUGACCUGAGCUGAAGUCGGACGCUCAACCGGCUGAGACACACAGGUGCCCAAACAAGCUUAGCCAAGAUGAUGCUAAUGCAGUUAUAAAUUGUUAUUACUAUGUGGUUUCAAUAAUUUUUUUGGGAACGUAAGAGUCUCCAGAGAACGGCAGAUAUUGUGGGGAAACAUUUCAGGAGACUGCUUACCGAGUCUUUUUUUUUUUUUAAGGUAUUCUUAACAUUUAUUUAAUGUUUUGUUUUUGUUUUGUUUUUUUCUGUAGGAAAGAGGAAGAAGGAAAUGUUACUAAGUUGCUUGGUUUAUGUUUUAUCAGACUGUUGUUCUGGUGAAUUCCACCAAUCGGGGGAUGUUUCUAGCGGGUUCACGCGUAGAACGUGUGUUAAGACGAGGGUUUCUCAGUCUCAGCCUCAGUGACAUUUUGGAACCUUCUUUGUUGUGAGGGGCCGUCCUGUGCAUGGUGGGAUGUUUAGCAGUAUCUCUGCCCUCUACCCACUCGAUGACAGUAGCAAUGCCUACCCCGCUGAAUCAUGAAAAUGAAAUAUAUUUCCGGAUGCUGCUACGUGUGCCCCUGCCAAUUUGCCCCUGGUUGACAUCCACUGGGUUGGGCAGUCUCUGGAGUCUUCCAGACAGCUUUCACUGUACAUCCAAGGGCAUACGAAAAACCCUAAAUGAUGACUCCUGCCUCACACCAGGACUGAUCCGUCAUCCGACUUCCCCCGUGAAAAACACAAAUGCCUGCUAUCGUUUGAGGAGGCUUAAGUCAACCAAGGGAAGCAUUCGUAUCUGCUUGCCUUACAGCAAGGGAAGAAAACUCAUUGUUCUUUGGCCAUCAGGCAAAACUCUGCUCCGUCCUCUGCGGCUAGGAACAGAGCAGCUCAGCAGCGUGAGGGUCGCCAAUGUCGGGUCAUGUUACUGGCAGAUUCCCUAAGAUGACAGCAUUCACACAAAAAAAAAUCCCACCUGCCCUCUGCUUCUUGGGCUUUUCUUUCCUCCAAUGGAAUCCAUAUGCCUGGUGUGUC